Molecule: ribosomal RNA, 295 nt
Filed under: uncultured bacterium
Lineage: Bacteria
Description: partial 16S ribosomal RNA
Rfam family: Bacterial small subunit ribosomal RNA
Source: RNAcentral
AAUGAACGCUGGCGGCGCGCCUAAUACAUGCAAGUCGAGCGAGAAGACGUAGCAAUACGUUUGUAAAGCGGCGAACGGGUGAGGAAUACAUGGGUAACCUACCCUCGAGUGGGGAAUAACUAGCCGAAAGGUUAGCUAAUACCGCGUACGCUUCUUGGACUUCGGUUCAGGGAGGAAAGCGAUGCCGAGGGUAUCGCGCUCUUGGAUGGGCUCAUGUCCUAUCAGCUUGUUGGNGAGGUAACGGCUCACCAAGGCUUCGACGGGUAGCUGGUCUGAGAGGACGAUCAGCCCACAC